Long non-coding RNA from Poecilia latipinna (sailfin molly), 1565 nucleotides. RefSeq lists it as uncharacterized. The transcript has 2 exons. Lineage: Eukaryota; Metazoa; Chordata; Actinopteri; Cyprinodontiformes; Poeciliidae. The record is from RefSeq and is a predicted model, not a curated record.
CGCUCGCUCCGCCAUGACGGACGUCAAAACUACCAAUGCGCUCCUUUAAAGCCCGACAAAAAAACAGACAUCUGCUAGCCUAACAUCGCUCUUAAUUCGUUGAUUUCACUUUUGAAAAUGGUCUCAGGAUGCUGCGCGGUCGGAUAGAAACCUAACUUAUCAUUUUAUUGCAGAACUUUUAAUGAGGAAAAAUUCGGCUGUGGAUAGCGGCUGUUAAUCAUAAUGGCCGCCAGCUGUCAAUCAUUAUUACUGUCAGCCCUCGGUGUAUCCGCGGAUUUGCAGCGAACACUUUUUUACAAGGAUCCACACUGUGCAGCUGGCCAUGUCUGCUGACCUGGAAGAGAUCCAAGAGUCACACAGCCUGUCAUUUCUCAGGAUUCCUCCAGACCAGAGGCGUAACACAGGAAAUAUUUAAAAUCAAUGAACAAAGCAACAUGUGAAAAAACAAACCAUUUUUAAGAUACAGUGAGCAGAGGGGAGGCGGUUGUUGUCCGGAUCACAUUGAUCUGUAAUGAUUCCACUGUUGUUUUCUGACCCGAAGCACCUUCAGAUUUACUCAUUGUUCUCUCUCAGAUAUUGAUCAGUCGUCCUCAGAAUGACCUACAGAAUCCGAAUCAUAAAUUUCACUUUGUCUUUUGAGCAAUGUGUCAAUUUCAGAGGAGGCUGAGGAAAGCCCUGAGUUAUUGAUUGGACACCUGAUGGUCCCAGCAGGGUGGAAGCCCGCUGAUUGUUGUUAUGUAGUUGGACCCAGCAGUCAAGCUCGACCUCAAGGCAGAACCGAGAAAACUUUCUACUCUUUGGCCAUUCUUGUUUUCAAAAUCCUCCAAAUUAUUUCUGAUCAGGAUGUUUACGGAGAUGCUAAGGCAUCAUCACAUCUUUCCCCCCCAAUUUGUUUGGUGCAUUUUUCUGAUCAGGAUUAAAGUUCUUACAACUGUUGGUUCAAAAGCCACAACAUUUAGCCAGUUGUGCACGUUAUAGUAGCAAAUUCUGUCUAACAAAAUGUAAGUCCUGUUGGACAUGCAUCAAUUCUGUCUGCUGUUUUAUAACAUUAUCAUUUGUUUCAAAAUUAACUCUCUAUGAUUUCUAACUUACCAUGCCUUAUAAAACUGAAAGAGUCACUACAUACAAAAAUAUUUAAAAUCUGUCAUUUUUAUGCACAUUCUUUCCAGAAAUUGGCUCCCAAAUUGAACCAUUACCCUCAGCUUUCAGAAAUGGCUUUGUUUACAGUUGUGCAGUUUUAUUUACUGUUCUUUACUUUCUCACAAUGCUGUGAAGAAAUUAGAGCUGCAGAGAGCAAAAUGUGAAGCAGACGCAUUCAGUGUCUUGUACUCAUUUAUCUCACUAGAUGCAGUAAUGUGUGAACAGCCGUUUGAACAUUUUCAGGCAGUGUCUCUGAGACCUGAAGCUCUUAGCAUUGGAAAACACUCAGAGGGAACCGUGAAAACAUGACAAAGCCAUUUGAGCAUGUUGUACAUUAACAUGGUGUCAUGACUUUUCAUUUUGAUGACACUUUCACUGAUAGAAAUAUUUGCUUUUGAUGAAUAAACUAUCCGUUCUGAGAAAGU